AACGAACGCUGGCGGCAGGCUUAACACAUGCAAGUCGAACGCAUCCUUCGGGGUGAGUGGCAGACGGGUGAGUAACGCAUGGGAACGUGCCCUUCAGUUCGGGAUAACCCAGGGAAACUUGGGCUAAUACCGGAUACGUGCGAGAGCAGAAAGAUUUAUCGCUGAAGGAUCGGCCCGCGUCUGAUUAGCUAGUUGGUGGGGUAAUGGCCCUCCAAGGCGACGAUCAGUAGCUGGUCUGAGAGGGUGAUCAGCCACAUUGGGACUGAGACACGGCCCAAACUCCUACGGGAGGCAGCAGUGGGGAAUAUUGGACAAUGGGCGCAAGCCUGAUCCAGCCAUGCCGCGUGAGUGAUGAAGGCCUUAGGGUUGUAAAGCGCUUUCGUCCGGGACGAUAAUGACGGUACCGGAAGAAGAAGCCCCGGCUAACUUCGUGCCAGCCGCCGCAGUAA
RNAcentral lists this ribosomal RNA (449 nucleotides) under uncultured bacterium. RNAcentral describes it as "partial 16S ribosomal RNA". It matches the Rfam family "Bacterial small subunit ribosomal RNA", at positions 29 to 523 of the family's 1533-position model. The record is from RNAcentral.